RNAcentral lists this long non-coding RNA (2820 nucleotides) under Canis lupus familiaris (dog). RNAcentral's name for it is "lncRNA (ENSCAFG00000056645.1)". The stretch from base 2662 to 2793 matches the Rfam family "Small nucleolar RNA SNORA61". The record is from RNAcentral. Lineage: Eukaryota; Metazoa; Chordata; Mammalia; Carnivora; Canidae.
GCGGCCUCGAGGCUUCCGCGCGUGAACAGCUCUGCCUUACGGCGAAGAUGUGGUCGUCGUAUUUACGGUCUGUGGGGGCGCCUGGAGGAAAUGGAGUUCUUGAGCGGAGCGGCUGGUGGAAGGCGGGAGGAGGCAGAGAAGGAAGGAGACGAGCAAACUGGCGCGAGGCCCAAGUACAUGGUAACACAGUGAGUAGGACCCAGCAGGGGCCUGAAGACGCGGGAGCGGAUGGUGAUUAGCCAUGCCCUCGCCCUGAUGUCCUGUGUGGGACGUGAGUGUACUGUCCCCGUGCCCCGGUGAGCUAUGUGAGAGCAGGGAAGAGAAGGGGAGAAAAUCACGCCCGCAGAGCAGCGGUGGGGCCCCCGGGCGGACCCUGCCCCUGGAAGAACAGCUCCAACCGGAGUGCUGUGCAGUGGAGGCAUGACUUCCACGGAGCCUCCUAGGUUAGGAGGAGGAAAGAACAGAAGUCCAGGGAGAGAGAGUGAGGCUGGGGCUGGAUUGCAACAGUGAACAGUUGCCCGCUGGAGACGGUCAGAUCAAGCACACUCACCAGCCACAGAAGACAGGAUAGGGGAAACCUGCUCCAUCUCCCCAGUGUGUCCUUACUUGUGCAUCACCGGAUGUCUGCAGAAACAUGCUCCUCUAGGACCUGCUGCGAUGGUGGACAUGUUUGGUGUCCAGUAAGGCGGCUGCUGACCAUGUGGCUUUCAAGCAUUUCAAAUGUGGCUAGUACAAGUAAGGAACUGAAUUUUGAACUUUUAAAGUUUUUAUGUGGUUUUAACUAAUUAAUUUAAAUUUAAAUAGAUGCAUGUGUCUGGGGGCUACCAAACUGGACAACAGUGUAAAAUAUCCCGUUGGCCAAAUUCAGUGAUUUCAUCUCCCCAUCCACCCUGCUUGAAGGUACUGAAGAUUUUAAAGCUUUUGAACUUCUUAGCCUCUGUGAAACUACCUUGGUUCUGUGAGUUCUUUCCACACAUUGUGAUCACUUGUUUUCAGAGGUUUUCACUAGCUUGCCUUUCUCUUUCUACAAUCAAACAGAAGCAAUUCUUCAGGCUUUGCAGUUGACAGUCUUCUCUUACUCUGUAGUAUUUCCCCAUCUGCUGCCCCAGGGUUUGAGAGAUUUGUGAAUCAAUCCUUAAUCUUUUAUCUUCAGCCCUGAUUUUGCUUUAGGAGGCAGUUUGGUUUAGGAAAAAUAAUAUGGGCAUUGGGGUAUGACCUGACACAGAAACCGCAAAACACCAUUCACCUUUUGGGAUUUAUAUAAUAAUUACUGUAAAGUAUCUAUUAAAUGGUUCUUCAUUCUUUUUCUAUCCUUCUGAUUUUGAGUUACAAGCACAUAUUUCCAACCACCCACAGUCCAUCCUUGCCUCCAUAUCCUUAGAAAAAGUUAGAGAGACAUAAAAUUUUGCAUGAAAUUCAUUUCAUACAGGCCCGUAUCUUUUGCUUGGGAUAUUGCAUGGAUCGUUUCUCCCAGAGAAGAUGACUCCCUGAAGUGAUUUUCAGCUACGUUAAGGCCCUGUUUUAUUCAUUAUGUAACUCCAGUGUCUUCCAUAAUCGUGUAAUAAUAGAAAUCUGAUAAAUGUUGAGCUGAAAAGAAACUUAAUUUGAAGAUAGAAUUCAUCUUCACCAGCUUUACAUGGUGAUCUAUAGUAAUUUCUCGAAGGUUUUAAAUGCUGAACUAAUGACUCUUGCCUUAGUAAAAGUCACCUCAGCUUCUUAGUAGGUGCAGUCCUCUGUGUGACAGGUACAGAGGUUGGCAAGAAUUUUCUACAAAGGACCAGAUAAUUUUUCAUCUUUGUAGCCACACAUGGUCUCUGGUCACAUACUCUUUUUUUGCUCUAUUUUUUGUUUGUUUUUAAACAACCCUCUGAGAAUCUAAAAACCUUCCUUAGCUCCCCUGGCUUAUGCCAGCAGGAUUUGGUUCGUGGGCUAUAGUUUUCUGACCCCUGAACCCACUUCCUGGGCACUGUAAUCCUGAGCACAGUCUCAAGGUAAAGCUAAGAUUGGUGCCACUACUGAAGACAUUUAUUAUGAAUUACUGUAUAAAUGAAUUUCAUCAGAUUAGUCAAUACUACAUUUUAAGCAUGGAACACAGAGAUCUGUCCCACAGUAGAGUUCCAGAAAUUAAGGCUAGGAGUAACAUAUCAGAAUUGCUUUUAGUUGCCAGUGACAGUAAAAUAGACAGGCUGCUUUUUAAAGAAAUGUUAUUCUUCCUCAACUGACAAUUCAUCCAGACAAAAGCAAUCACUAGUAUUUGUUCUACUGUUCAAAAAUGUCAUCAAGAACCCAGAUGUUUCCUACUCUCCUGCUCCACCACCCUUUGCAUGUAGACUUUUCAUUCUCAUUCUUGAUGUCUCCUAUUACAAGGUGGCUGCUGCUGCUCCAGAUAUCUUAUCCCCAUACUAGUGUCUCUAGCUGGGAAAAAAGGAGCAGAAUCUGUCUUUUCAUCAAGGAAAUGAAGUUCACAGUGGAUUCCUCCUUGUUUCUUUCAUCAUACAUGGGGGUACAUACUAUGGUAGGCAGAAUAAUGGACCCCAAAGAUAUCCACACUCUUAUCCUUGGAACCAAUGAAUAUGAAGGAAUAAUUAAGUUUGCAAACCUCAAAACAGAAUAUCUAGGGGCUGCAUAGAACCACACAAUUCCUUAAGAAUAGAACAUCCAACCCUCUGGUUCCCUUUCCCAUCAGAUCUAUUCGCUGGUCUUGGUGGUUGUAAAAGGAGAAAAAGGAACAAUGAAGCCAGCCUCCCAGUGCCUACAGUCUGGCAUAUAGCUUUUGGGCUGUUUCAAAUGAGAUCUGAACUUAAAAAAAAAAAACAAAAA